Molecule: ribosomal RNA, 498 nt
Filed under: uncultured bacterium
Lineage: Bacteria
Description: bacterial SSU rRNA
Rfam family: Bacterial small subunit ribosomal RNA
Source: RNAcentral
AGUGAACGCUGGCGGCAGGCCUAAUACAUGCAAGUCGAACGGCAGCACAGCAGAGCUUGCUCUGUGGGUGGCGAGUGGCGGACGGGUGAGGAAUACAUGGGAAUCUGCCCAGUCGUGGGGGAUAACGUAUGGAAACGUACGCUAAUACCGCAUGCGCCCUACGGGGGAAAGCCGGGGACCGAAAGGCCUGGCGCGAUUGGAUGAGCCCAUGUUCGAUUAGCUAGUUGGCGGGGUAAAGGCCCACCAAGGCGACGAUCGAUAGCUGGUCUGAGAGGAUGAUCAGCCACACUGGAACUGAGACACGGUCCAGACUCCUACGGGAGGCAGCAGUAGGGAAUAUUGGACAAUGGGGGCAACCCUGACCCAGCCAUGCCGCGUGAGUGAAGAAGGCCCUCGGGUUGUAAAGCUCUUUUGUCCGGAAAGAAAGCAUUCGGUUAAUACCCGGGUGUUCUGACGGUACCGGAAGAAUAAGCACCGGCUAACUUCGUGCCAGCAGCC